Molecule: long non-coding RNA, 3580 nt
Filed under: Homo sapiens (human)
Lineage: Eukaryota; Metazoa; Chordata; Mammalia; Primates; Hominidae
Description: non-protein coding lnc-CARD11-8:4
Source: RNAcentral
CUCUUUCCCUAUUUCAGAGCUCACCACUGUAUUCUAAACAGAAGCCAAUAGAGGGAGAAAAACAAAGCCAAGUGCAAAAGCUGUGGGCACUGAAAGUUUUGCUCCACCGGCCGCGCAGCACCCACUUGGGGUCGGGCUUUGGGACUUGGGGGAGUCAGGAGCAGGCGGGGGCUGGGGAGAGGACGAGGCCCUGGGGAGGGGCUGGAAAAGGCUUUUCACAGCGACUGGCACUUGAUAUUUCCAAGUCUUCUGGAUGUCACUCACCGGAAACCAGACCCUGCGGUGCGAAGACUCAGGUGGCAAAGGCAAAAGCUGGACUGCAUUGUGUGGCCCCAGGGAGCUGCAGACAGAGGAACUGAGUCCUGGCCACUGUGCCUGCUGUCUCUUACAAGUUUAGAGAUGCUGGCAUUGCAUCGAAAUCGGACAACACUCCCUUCCCUCCCUUCCCAGAGUCAUGAUUCUUCCUUCUCAAGUCAAAGAGGAAUUACAAGCAAAUAGACACUAUCCUUGAAUGCAGUUUGGGUUACACAGAAUGGGGAAUGAACUCAAUCUCAUUUUUGCUUCUUUGUUGAAAUAAGCUCAGUAUCUCCCUUGCACAGAGAUUGAAUCGGCUUCACUAAGGCAAGCAGCAUUUCCUCUUUUCUCCCAGUCAGCAUCGCAGCUCUCUGCAUUCCCCUCUCGCAGAGGUGACUAUUCAUUGUGUUCUUUCCAGGAAUGUUUUCUGAGCUUCAGGAGGCCCUGAGUUACCUGGAUAAUUAGUGCUGUCCUUUUGCACAAUGCAAAAACAAAACUAUUAUGAGAUAAUUUCUUUAGCUAAGUUGGGAAUGGGGUUUAAAUGCGUGGGCAAAUAGAUCUGGCAGUCAAAUUCAGACUGUCAUAUUUUGUGAUCCACCCUCCCACCGAUCAUAGCAUAUAAGACUCUGAUGAACUUCACCAGCAACAGGGAAUUCUCCCUCCACUGCAGAUAAAACAAUGACAAUAUGGAAGUGAAAAAUGAAUAAUUCAAAAAUGGAAUUCUCUGUGGGGCUCCGUGCAGUGUGUGUUUCUGUGUGUGCAUGUGUUUUAUACAAGUCUCUGUUACUUUUGUAGUUUGGAUUGGACUUCCGUCGGUCCAUUAAUUUUGUUACUGGAUCCCACCACUUACCCAAAAUUAGCCUUUGGGUUGGGUGUUUCUGCAGUAUAGUCCCUUCUGUGGACACCAGAAAGAUAUUACAGGAAAGGGGUCCUGAUCAAGACCCCCAGAGACGGUUCUUGGACCUGGUUGGGAGGCCGAGGAUCACUUGAGGUCAGGAGUUCGAGACCAGCCUGACCAACAUGGUGAAACCCCAUCUCUACUAAAAAUACAAAAAUUAGCCAGGUGGGCCAGGCACGGUGGCUCACGCCUGUAAUCACGCCUGUCAUCACAGCACUUUGGGAGGCCGAGACAGGUGGAUCACCUGAGUUCAGGAGUUCAAGACCAGGCUGGCCAACAUGGUGAAACCCUGUCUAUACUAAAAAAACAAACAAACAAACAAAAAAAAAAACAAAAAUUAGCUAGUCAUGGUGGCCUGCACCUGUAAUCCCAGCUACUCAGGAGGCUGAGGCAGCAGAAUCCCUUGAACCCAGGAGGCAGAGGUUGCAGUAAGCCAAGCUCUAGCCUGGGCGACAGAGCUAGACUCCAUAAAAAAAAAAAAAAAAAAAAAAAAAAAAAAAAAAAAAGAAGAAGAAGAAGAAGAAAGAAAGAAUUAAUUCAUUAAUUCAGGAUGAGCCCGUAAAGUGAAAGCAAAUUUAUUAAGAAAGUAAAGGAAUAAAGAACGGCUGCUCCAUAGACAGAGCAGCCCCAAGGGCAGCUGGUUGCCCAUUUUUAUGGUUAUUUCUGGAAGAUAUGCUAAACAAGGGGUGGACUAUUCAAGCCUCUCGUUUUUAGAUCGUAUAGGGGAACUUCCUGACGUUACCAUGGCAUUUGUAAACACUCAUGAUGCUGGUGGGAGAGUGUAGCAGUGAGAAUGACCAGAGGUCACUCUUGUUGCCAUCUUGGUUUUGGUGGGAUUUGCCUGGCUUCUUUACUGCAACAUAUUUUAUCAGCAAGGUCUUUAUGUCCUGUAUCUUGUGCUGACCUCCUGCCUCAUCCUGUGACUUAGAAUGCCUAACCAUCUGGGAAUGCAGCCCAGUAGGUCUCAGCCGCAUUUUACCCAGUUCCUCUUCAAGAUGGAGGUGCUCUGGUUCAAAUGCCUCUGACAAUUUCACGGAUGGAUUCCAGGGACCUGUGAGCAGUCUCUGGAAGUCUUUGGCUAGGUGUGGUGGCUGACCAGGAACUGUGGCCCACCUUGUAGUUCCCACACAUGGGGAAGCAGACAGGUAGAGUGUAACCCACCAACCACUGCACACGCAGGAAACAGAUCCCAUGUCAGGACGCUUUGUAAGUGCUGCAUGCUUCCAGACCAGUGGAGAGAACCCAUCAGCACGUAUCUGUAGCCUUUACUUUUGCAAGAACAUAUCGCCGCAUUGUUUGGUAAUUUAACAUUUUUGACAAAAACAACUUGAAAGAGAUGAUGUUAAAAAAUGCUGGCAGGGAGCACACAGGAUUUUUAGGGUAGUGAAACCUCUCUGUAUGAUCCUACAAUGUCAUUAGACAUUUGUCCAAACCCAGAGAAAACACACCACAACCAAGAGUGAACCCUAAUGUAAACUCUGGACUCUGGGUGAUGAUGAUGUACAGUGUAAGGUUCAUCAAUUUUUUCUGUAAACCAAAAAUAAAAUUCUAAGUCCUCCAGCCAUCUAAAUGGACCCCUCCUCUUGGCCAAGAGCAUUCCAAAGCUAACCUGAAAAAACUAGUUCAGGCCAUGUUGGAAAGAGAAAGCCAGACAUGCCUCAUUAUCCCCUCCUCCCUUUUGGAAUUGCUGAUAAAACAGACUCUUUAAGUCUGACAAGAAACAUUUACAAUCUAUUCUCUCUAAAGCCUGAUAUCUACAGGCUUCAUUUGCAGGAUAAAACAUUGAUCUGGGCCAGGUGCAGUGGCUCAGGCCUGUAAUCCCAGCACUUUGGAAGGCCGAGGCGGGCGGAUCACAAAGUCAAGAGAUCGAGACCAUCCUGGCCAUCAUGGUGAAACCCUGUCUCUACUAAAAAUACAAAAAUUAACUGGGCGUGCUGUCACGCACCUGUCAUCCCAGCAACUUGGGAGGCUGAGGCAGGAGAAUCGCUUGAACCCAGGAGGUGGAGGUUGCAGUGAGCUGAGAUCGUGCCAUUGCACUCCAGCCUGGCAACACAGCGAGACUCCAUCUCAAAAAACAAAACAAAACAAAACAAAACCUUGGUCUCCACAACCCUUUAUCAUAACCCAGACAUUCCUUUCUACGGAUAAUAACUCUUUCAACCAAUUGCCAAUCAGAAAAAUUUUAAAUCUACCUAUGACCUGGACGCCCCUGUUUCCAAGUUGUCUCACCUUCGCAUCCUGAACCAUUGCAUAUCUUGCCUGUAUUGACUGAUGUCUCAUGUCUGCCUAUGAUGUAUAAACCAAUUGUACCCUGACCAGGUUGAGCACAUGUCAUCAGGACCUCCUGAGGCUGGGUCAUGGGUAUGUCCUUAACCUGGGCAAAAUAAA